RNAcentral lists this ribosomal RNA (253 nucleotides) under uncultured bacterium. RNAcentral describes it as "partial 16S ribosomal RNA". It matches the Rfam family "Bacterial small subunit ribosomal RNA", at positions 524 to 776 of the family's 1533-position model. The record is from RNAcentral.
UACGUAGGGUGCAAGCGUUGUCCGGAAUUAUUGGGCGUAAAGCGCGUGUAGGCGGUCCGUUAAGUCGGAUGUGAAAUCUCUGGGCUCAACCCAGAAAUCGCAUCCGAUACUGGCGGACUUGAGGAUGGUAGAGGUUGGUGGAAUUCCCGGUGUACCGGUGAAAUGGACAGAUAUCGGGAGGAACACCUAUUGCGAAGGCAGCUCGCUGGGACGUAACUGACGCUGAGACGCGAAAGCGUGGGGAGCAAACAGG